This 777-nucleotide unclassified non-coding RNA is filed under the name Hevea brasiliensis (rubber tree). The record is from RNAcentral. Lineage: Eukaryota; Viridiplantae; Streptophyta; Magnoliopsida; Malpighiales; Euphorbiaceae.
AAUUCUUUCCUCUUGAAUUCUAUGCCCUUUCUCCACCUUAGGCCAAAACCCCUUUCUUUCCAUGGAAUAGCAAUGGUCAUGAGCCCCUUAUCAAUGAGCAAAGUCAAAUUCUCAACAAUUGGUAAAGUUUCUCUCUGCAAUGGGCCACAACAUUACUUUAUGAGCUGAAAUUCAAAUAACAUUUUCCAUCAUUCUCCUAUUUAUAUUAUUAAUUCCUCCAUACUAAUUUGAUUAGGAGUUCCACUCAAUUUAGGGAUAAAGCUAAAAUAAGAGUUCUACUCUAUAUAGAAAAAGGUCUCUCUCCAAAUUUCACUAGGAUUUUGAUUCAUAAUUCUAACCAUCUCUACCUUGACUCAAAAUCUAUCAACCAUUGCAUGUCUCAAAUUCUUGAGUGUCAUCAAAUCAUUAAAUCUCCAUACUUGAGCUUCAAUCUUUCAAAUCUCCAUUCUUCAAUUUUCAUCUUGGGUGUAUCUUACUUUCUUUCUACCUGUCGCAACAGCUCCACCUUCAAUUAAACUCAUCAAGAUCUGAUACUAAUUUGUUGUGCGCUGCAAAAAUGUGUAAACUACAAAGAAAUAAAGUAAUCAUAGUAUGCUAUCCACGGUUUCCAUUAUCAAUAAUAAUAAAUCAUCAAUUACAAGCUCAAAACUAUGCUAUCCAUAAAUUCAGUUACACCCAAAUUACUCAUAGUAUGUAUAUUAGUUAGUCACUUAUAGUCUAUUCAUAGUAAAUAUAUUAAUUAGUCCCUCUUAGUCUCCUCUAGACAUAACCCAAUAU